This 468-nucleotide ribosomal RNA is filed under the name uncultured bacterium. Its description in RNAcentral is "partial 16S ribosomal RNA". It matches the Rfam family "Bacterial small subunit ribosomal RNA", at positions 28 to 507 of the family's 1533-position model. The record is from RNAcentral.
GACGAACGCUGGCGGCGUGCUUAACACAUGCAAGUCGAACGGAAAGGCCCUGCUUUCGUGGGGUGCUCGAGUGGAGAACGGGAGAGUAACACGUGAGUAACCUGCCCUUGACUUUGGGAUAACUUCAGGAAACUGGGUCUAAUACCGGAUAGGAGCUCCCGCUGCAUGGUGGGGGGUGGAGAGUUUUGGCGGUUGGGGAUGGGCUCGCGGCUUAUGAGCUUGUUGGUGGGGUAGUGGCUUACCAAGGCGUUGACGGGUAGCCGGCCUGAGAGGGUGACCGGCCACACUGGGACUGAGACACGGCCCCGACUCCUACGGGAGGCAGCAGUGGGGAAUAUUGCACAAUGGGCGCAAGCCUGAUGCAGCGACGCCGCGUGGGGGAUGACGGCCUUCGGGUUGUAAACCUCUUUCAGCAGGGAAGAAGCGAGAGUGACGGUAACUGGAGAAGAAGCACCGGCUAACUACGUG